Molecule: ribosomal RNA, 441 nt
Filed under: uncultured bacterium
Lineage: Bacteria
Description: partial 16S ribosomal RNA
Rfam family: Bacterial small subunit ribosomal RNA
Source: RNAcentral
CCUACGGGUGGGCAGCAGUGGGGAAUAUUGCACAAUGGGGGAAACCCUGAUGCAGCAACGCCGCGUGAGUGAAGAAGUAUCUCGGUAUGUAAAGCUCUAUCAGCAGGGAAGAAAAUGACGGUACCUGACUAAGAAGCCCCGGCUAACUACGUGCCAGCAGCCGCGGUAAGACGUAGGGGGCAAGCGUUAGCCGGAUUUACUGGGUGGAAAGGAAGCGUAGACGGUGUGGCAAGUCUGAAGUGAAAGCCCGGGGCUCAACCCCGGGACUGCUUUGGAAACUGUCAUGCUUGAGUGCUGGAGAGGGAAGCGGAAUUCCUAGUGUAGCGGUGAAAUGCGUAGAUAUUAGGAGGAACACCAGUGGCGAAGGCGGCUUACUGGACAGUAACUGACGUUGAGGCUCGAAAGCGUGGGGAGCAAACAGGAUUAGAUACCCUGGUAGUC